Molecule: ribosomal RNA, 399 nt
Filed under: uncultured bacterium
Lineage: Bacteria
Description: bacterial SSU rRNA
Rfam family: Bacterial small subunit ribosomal RNA
Source: RNAcentral
GGGGAAUAUUGGACAAUGGGCGAAAGCCUGAUCCAGCAAUGCCGCGUGAGUGAUGAAGGCCUUAGGGUUGUAAAGCUCUUUUACCCGGGAUGAUAAUGACAGUACCGGGAGAAUAAGCCCCGGCUAACUCCGUGCCAGCAGCCGCGGUAAUACGGAGGGGGCUAGCGUUGUUCGGAAAUACUGGGCGUAAAGCGCACGUAGGCGGCCUGGCAAGUCAGGGGUGAAAUCCCGGAGCUCAACUCCGGAACUGCCCUUGAAACUGCCUCGCUGGAAUCUUGGAGAGGUCAGUGGAAUUCCGAGUGUAGAGGUGAAAUUCGUAGAUAUUCGGAAGAACACCAGUGGCGAAGGCGACUGACUGGACAAGUAUUGACGCUGAGGUGCGAAAGCGUGGGGAGCAAA